Molecule: small nucleolar RNA, 81 nt
Organism: Planococcus citri (citrus mealybug)
Lineage: Eukaryota; Metazoa; Arthropoda; Insecta; Hemiptera; Pseudococcidae
Product: small nucleolar RNA R38
Exons: 1
Source: RefSeq, a predicted model, not a curated record
AAAUUCACAUGAUGAAACAAUUUUAUUUCCAGUUAUCCCUGUCUGAAUUUGACUGAUGCUAUUCAACAUUCUGAUGCGUUU